RNAcentral lists this ribosomal RNA (487 nucleotides) under uncultured bacterium. RNAcentral's name for it is "partial 16S ribosomal RNA". It matches the Rfam family "Bacterial small subunit ribosomal RNA", at positions 28 to 507 of the family's 1533-position model. The record is from RNAcentral.
GACGAACGCUGGCGGCGUGCUUAACACAUGCAAGUCGAACGGGCUCUGUCUGGCUGUGUGCUGGGUGGGGUUAGUGGCGAACGGGUGAGUAAUACGUGAGUAACCUGCCCUCUUCUUUGGGAUAAGCCUUGGAAACGGGGUCUAAUACUGGAUAUUCCUGUCUGGUCGCAUGGCUGGGUGGGGAAAGUUUUUUUCGGUGGGGGAUGGGCUCGCGGCCUAUCAGCUUGUUGGUGGGGUGAUGGCCUACCAAGGCGUCGACGGGUAGCCGGCCUGAGAGGGUGGCCGGGCACACUGGGACUGAGAUACGGCCCAGACUCCUACGGGAGGCAGCAGUGGGGGAUAUUGCACAAUGGGCGCAAGCCUGAUGCAGCGACGCCGCGUGGGGGAUGACGGCUUUCGGGUUGUAAACCUCUUUCGUCGGGGGACAAGGCUCUGCUUGGUGGUGGGGUUGAGGGUACCCGGUGAAGAAGCGCCGGCUAACUACGUG